Cuculus canorus (common cuckoo) is the source of this 8245-nucleotide RNA transcript. It is a transcript of the gene named divergent protein kinase domain 1C, with no coding region annotated. The record is from RefSeq and is a predicted model, not a curated record. The transcript has 5 exons. NCBI's taxonomy places the organism in Eukaryota, Metazoa, Chordata, Aves, Cuculiformes, Cuculidae.
CCGCGAUGAGGGGCAUCAAGAGGCUGCGGCUCAAAAUCUGGCGGCGAUGCACCCUGGCGCUCCUCCUCCUCUGGGCUGCCUGCUGGAUGGUGGUGAGCGCCUUGCUGUUCCUCCUCCACAGGAGCGUCUUCUCCGAGCGCUGCACCGACGAGAAAAGCCACCGCAUCCUGACCAGGCUGUGUCUUGACUACAGCAGUGGAGCCCUGACUGGUGACCUCUGUGAAGACCUGUGUGUGGCACAGAAGCUGGUGUACAAACACUGCCUUUACUAUGACAGAGGUAAGAAGGUCAUCCAGGCUGACUGGAGAGGCCAGCCCAUCAUCCUGAAAUCCAAAAAGGAAAUCUUCUCCAGCUACCAGCAUCUCAGUAUGCUAGAGGAGGUAGAAACACAGGAUAUUCCUGAAACAGAGCUUCUGCUGUUGGUAGCUCUGGAGGUCAAAAAUGCCCUGGGGUUAGAACUGUCCAACAAUACCAUGGGGCCUCUGUGGACAAAGAAGAAGGGACCUCGUUGGAAAGCACAGGUGGCCAGCAUGUGGUCCUUGCUUCAGCAGGAAGAAUAUAUCUACUUCAGUUUGCUGCAGGACUUCAGCAAACAUGUGUUACGAAUUAUUGGCUCUUGUGGACACUUUUAUGCUGUGGAGUAUCUCACAGCUGGACAGGCCUGGCACAAAACUCUUUUUCCUUUGGAAAAUGUGGUUGGUCCCUCCCUUGCUGGCCACAGAAGCAGAAUGAGAGCCAUCAUUGACAUUGCACUCAGCUUUUUGGACAUGGUGCAGCAUUUUGAUAAUGAUUUUUCUCACCGACUUCACCUGUGUGACAUCAAACCAGAAAACUUCGCUAUCAGGCACGAUCUCACGGUGGUGGCCAUCGAUGUGGAUAUGGCCUUUUUUGAACCCAAAAUGAGGGACAUCCUGGAACAGAACUGCACAGAGGAUGAAGACUGUAAUUUUUUUGAUUGCUUUUCAAAAUGCAAUCUGAAAAUCAGAAAAUGUGGAGCACAAAGAGCCAAUAACAACUUGCAAGUAAUUUGUGACAAAAUAUUCCGCCGCUGGUUUUCGCCAAAUCUCGGAGGAUCAUCGGUUUCCUUCCCUCUGCAGCUGCAGCUGCAGAAAGCUGUGCAGGAGUGUGCUGAACCGGGACACUUGGACACUGCCGGGCACCAGAGGACUCUGAAAUCUCUCUCUGAGUUAUACCACCUGCUUCGAGUCUCCCAACGAGAACUGCAAAGGACAGGGUAGACACAAAAGGCAGAAACGCAAGGGCCACAUCCCACCUACUGCUAGGGGACACUAUGUGCAGCAGCCUAUAUUUUCUUUCUCUCUCUUCUAUCCCUCCUUACCUGUUGCAUGACAUUUACAGCAGAGAGAUUGGUUUUCCUCUAUGCAAAUGAAAUUCACGGCUGCGGGUGCAGCAUGUCCUGUUAAUAUCCUUUGAAGUGUGAAAUUGUUUUACAUUACCUGGAUUCUGUUCCUGCUUGUUUUCCUGAACUAGCACUAGCUCUCUCGCAUCAGCAUUCAGCACAUCAUUUGCCCACUGAGAGCUGUAGUCACUGCUCAGAUAGCAUCUGUCUGAGUGCUGUGGUCAGAGUAAGGAUGUAUGGAUGGUGCUUUGAAGAUGAAAAGUGUAAAUGCAGUAAAAUUAACAUAUUAUGCAGUAAAAUUAAUAUUAUGGGUGGGUGCAGAUAGGUAUGCGCAUGGUAGGGCUUUUUAAUUUCUCUCUAGAAUUAAUUUCUUUUAAAGUAGGGACAGAGUGUUCUGUGUGAAAAAACAACCUCAAAUAGGCAAAUGUUUUGUCACAAAAGUGAAGAGCUGCUGUUGCAGAAAGCAGUCCUCUCUGAUGUUCCCAAAUGCAUUUUCUCUGGUGCGUUGUAUCACUUGUGCAUAGCUAACUUUCUGAGGAGAAAUUAGGACUUCUCUAAGGCAAAUAAUUAUGCCCUUGUUGAGUUCCCAUGUGGGUACUCAUAUUCUGCAAUGAAGGGGUAUGAAUAAUGCUACUGAAUUUUCCCAUGUGAAGAAGCCCUCGGGCACUUGAACAUCAUAGAACUUGAUAAGAAGCACUCCUUUGCCAGAGAGCAGAUUUACCCAGGAAUGCCAACAAUCUGUCCUUUGCACCGAGCAGAACAAUAUCCAGACCUGGAGUUUUCUUACACAGCAUUUUUUUAACGAACAAAAGGAAAUUUUUCGUAAGAAUUCAUUAUCUUGCAAUCAGGUACAUAAGAUUCCUAGAUUAACUUAAAAUUAUUAGCUUUGCCUUUCCGAUGUGUGAAGCUAUACGUAGAGAAUCUUAACAUGUGGGUUGGGAGUAUGUUGCAUGUAUUCAGGUCUAAUCCUGGGCGAUCUGCUCAUGAGCCGAUUUUGGCAUGAAGAUGCUAAAACCCCCACAAACUAAAAUAAAUCCACAGCUUGAGACAGCCCUUUAAUAUUAAGACUGACAAUACUGUUUUGUUGGAUGCGAGACACAUAAAAGCACCUAAUCUUUUUUGUCUUUAUAUCCCUUGACCUCAUGACAGCCCUGAAGUCUGUAAGCAGUAAUAAUACAUACAUUUUCAAUUUCUGGAGUGGUUCUUUAAAGUGAUGUUAAAGACUGCCUGCGACCAGAAAAAUGUGAGCUGCUUAGGGUACCUUGACACUUACUCAAAUAUUCAGACUAGUGAUCGCUUUUUGUAUUUCUUGUAAUAAACCACCAUAAUUCUUAAAAUUGUUCAGGUCCUCCAGAAGCUCAAAGGGAGGGCAAGGUCAGCUGCCUUGCCUGGGGCUGUACCGAAGACAAGCUGCCGCUAAGCCAGAGCUACAUCCCAGGAGCUCCUGAUUGGUGAAGUUAAGCUCAGUCUCUAACCAAGGAGGCAAACAAUGUUUCAGUCCUCAUCCUUUGCAAAAGCAGGAAGUCAAAACAGAAUAAGAAGAAACCUAAAUUCCAGAACAGUUCCUAAUACAAAGUCAUGAAACUAAUAGUGGAGAAAAUAAUUAACAAUAGAAUCAGGUUGUGGUAAAUAGUUGCGGGCAGAUAAAGUAUCAGGUAGAGAGAAGAUGAGGAAAAAGGGAUGAAGGAGAAAGAGAAAAAAUGAAGUAAAAACCAUGCCACACUUUGUGAAAACUUGAUUUAUGAUGUAAGGUUGAACAACCUGUCAUUUCAUCUGAGGAAGAAGCGGCUGAAGAGAGGCACAGUAACUCUCUUCAGAAACAGAAAGUGGCUGAUAAAAAGAAUAAGAGUGAACUGUUCUGUCCAUUUUUCCUUGAACAAUGAACAUAAAUCACAGCAAGGAAAAUUCUAGUUGGACAUUUGUUACAGGUUUUCUAAUAGUAAGGAACAGUGGAGCUACGGGAUAGAUAAUUUGGGAAAACUUCAGACUUCCUAAGUUGUGACUUUUAAUUACAGGCAACAGUGAAUGCCUAUCAGUAACGAUGCACAUGCAGUUACAUCAAUGAUCCUGCCUUGAGGUAGCCUUUUAUCCCCAAGUCUUGGGAUGUGGUUAUUACCAGCUUAUGUUUGUGUUCUUGCUACUCCCUCACAACAAAAUUCACCCUUCUGAGACAGGUAGAUAGGUAACUCUCCUUUAUCUUACAUGGGCAAAUGCAUGGGCUUCCUGUUUGAAAGGAAGGCACAGAGAUAUCCAGCCGUGCAAAUGAUGCUACAGAGCCUGGUGGUGUGAUCAGGGUCCAAGUGCUCCCCACACGACCUCCCUGCUGAAGGCACUGAUCCUUGCUGGGUCCUCAGUGUGUAUACACCAAACACUGCUGGAGAUCUGAAUGUCUUCUGUAUCAUCACUUCUGUUUCCCUAGUGCCAUUAAUUCCUUUCUCCUCCCCAAGCCUGGAGGAUACCAUCAGGGAGAAGCAAGCAUGCAGCCACUCAGUGCUUUGCAGCAGUGUUAGGCUCCACCAUGGCAGGGGCUCCGUAGUUUCUGAGUUGCAUUUCAAACGGGUUAAAUUUCUCUUGGAUAUAAUGUUCUGGUUUUAAAACGGGUCAGAAAAAACAUAGCAAAAUGAAACUAGGUGGAAGCCAAACGUCAGUAGAAUGUCAUUCUUCUCAGAAGGUCUUUCUCCUCAGCAGGAUUUAGGAAGGGAAGCUGUCUUUGACAGAUUUCUCUACCCUCCCCAGGGCUUGGCUGUAGCCACCUCCACCUGGCAGGGAUCUCCUUCCCCCACAUCACAUGCUUUCCCAAGUUAUUAGGUUUCACUUCUUCUUUUCAGGACACAGAAAGUGAUCCUCAGAAACCUCUCAAAAAGCGACACAAACGGGUUAUUUGUACUUGGCUGGGCUGUGAGAUUGGGUAUCACUGAUGCAGCCUGCACCUGCUGGCUUUGGUACACCUUUAUCAGUAAAUGGAAAGAUGAGGAGAAUCUGACAGGCUGUGCAAAUGCAGUGCUUGAUUCUUCACUGCCUUGUAAAGUCACUAAAACCUGAGAAACAGAAGAGAAAAAUAUUACCAGUGAAACAAAUGAAAUACUCCAGUUUAUUUAGCACAGGUACCAAUAACCAAAGAAGGGGGAAAAAACCCCAAACCAGUAGUCUUGCCUUUAUCUGCCUGGGGCAGAAGGAAAAGAAAAUUAAGAUACCUGUUUAGUUGUCAUUUACCUUAAGCAGGUGAAUGUAAACAGCAGUUAUUUGAGACUGUAUUAUUUUACACAAUGUGUUAUGGUGGAAAUACCUAUACAGGUGUUUGAAAAUGAAGAACCAGGCCCACAUCGCCCAGUGCUCCCUUCCAACAAAGACCUUUUCAUACUGCAUUGACAGCGCUGCCCACCAAAAAUAGCCCCAGCAUGAAGAGAUACCCAGCUGUUAUGUACUUUAGAGGGCACAGCCAGGUCGGGUGGGCAUUGAAUGAGAGUCCUGUGUGCUGUUGAAGCCAAGCUGUUGGCACAGUUAGUUGCACUACAACAGCCAACAGUGAUAGCUGGGAAAUUCUGCAGUCAGCUCCGGUCAGAAAAUUAAGUGUCUAAAAUGAUAUGAUGUGCUACAAGAGACUAAUUAAUAAAAUAACAACAAACAAACAGGUUUGCAAAAUAAAAAGAUGGCGAUGCGAGGAGUAAGAGGAUGGUACUUUUAGGUAUCCUCAUUACUUUCUGAUGUUUGCUUUUCAUCCCAAUUCAGACGAGAAAUUUUAUGAAAGCUCAAAAUCUUUUGCAGACUUUCUCACCCAGCCCCAGUGGUCAGAUCUGGAAAAGAGAAGGUCCAGGUAUAGUUUAUGAAGUUGGCUUUGCUUCCCACUUCAUUUCCACAUAUUAUUUGUGAUCUUCACUUAGGCUGCAAUGGUUUCUGUUUGAUUUCUCUCACUUUCAAGUAUCUCCAAAUCUCCUGCUUACUGGCAUCCCUGUUUGGUAUCUAGUUCACCGCAACUUUGCAAAAUCAUCAGUGACAUAAGAUUCUUCACACAGUUCAUUCCCUCCAUAUAAAAGAUGACUCCUCUUAUAUAGGUUCACUAACAGGAUUUGGCUGCACUGAGAAUGGCUCUUUAAUCCGAGGAGGCUGUUCACGUUCGAUUGGUCUCAGCCACAUCUCUUUGCUCUGUCAGUCCAUUCCUGAAUCCUUUUCACCCUAUAAAAGUGGCACUACCUCUUGAUUAAUUUCUACCACUCACUGCAUUAAUGCCUUACUCAGCGACUUUCUCCACAUAUUUAUGGCUUUCUUUGAAGCAGGAACAGCAUUAAGUCAUUGUUUAUUUCUUCUUUGCAUCUUGGUUAGCAGCGUGUGCUUCAACUCAGUAUUAACCUAAAUACACUGUCUGUUCCCACAUUUUAUAAGAGGUGGAUCCAGUUGGAGGUCUACUUCAUAAACUUCGGGAAAGAUAAAUUCAAUACUUUGCUCAGGAUUUUCACAGAAAAAACUAAUUCUUAAAGGCAAGUUUUUCUCCAGAUGGCAUUGUAUGGUCUGAAAUAAACAUCUGCAAGCAGUAGUCGUGCACUGGGGUGAUGUGAAACAGAGCAAAACUACUUGCCCAAGAGGGUUUACAUGGUCUCCCUUGUAUUUUGAAGUUGACUUAUGAGUGAUUAACCCAGAAUAGCAGGUUAUUGCUGUAGCACAGUUUUUGAUUUAGAGCCUAAUACUCCCAAGUGUGAAUUCACAGCCCCCCAUCUGCUGAGAGCAUUCCGAUACGUUGCUCAAGCCAACAACAGGUACAAAAACAGAUAUUUGGGACAGGGCUGGGGGGAGAAAGGGAAGGGCUUGUUUUAUUUUUAUUAGAAACACUCACUGAACAAAAUACUACAAGUGAAAAAUGCGUUCAGGAACUUGAAGGAGUUAGAGACUCCUUACUGAUUUUUUUUUUUCCCCUUGGUUAGAAAGUGUAGACCCAUGUUGCCCUAUCUAAAAAUAAAAAAAAAAAGGGAAUUAAACCACAUAUCAUGUUGCCUGUCUUUCAGCAGAUCAUUUUAUUGUAUAUACUGGACAGGAAGGCGAUAAAUUGCAGUUUUAAUGACUGUCAGGUUGUAACAUUGAAGUAUUUUGGUUGUAAUACCAAUUUAAACAUCUGGAAAAUCAAUUGUAACAAGACCUGUAACUGGUAUCAGUGGAAGUGUGCGAUCAGAUUAGGCAUCUUGGCAGAUGUUUUUCGGAAGCCUAAUAGAGAUGAGUGAUGAAAUUCCUCUGUUGGGGCUGACCUACUGUGAGUCCAAGCAAUAAGCAGAAUCACUCUGCAGGAGCAUCAGUCGCUGCCACUUUCCAGGAUCAUCAGUGAAAUUGGGAGAAAGGCCACUAGGCUUUCACUAGCAUAAAAGGACAGCAACAGGUAGAGAGGGAAAGAAUGAGUAGCUUGGAAGAAUGAAAAUUCAGAACAAGUGGUCUCAGAACUGAAGCUACUGAGAGACCCUGUGCUGAAACAUCAGAAAAUGUCAAUAGGUUCCUUGGGAAAAAAAAAUCCCAAACUUUUCUAUUAGAGUUCUUUUAAAUAAAAAAGAACACCAGUACAGGGGAUAUAGUCCAGGCACCUCCCAAACCAUUUGUUGCGCUUUCUAAAGAUAUGACAAGUAGACCGUGGAGCUGUUUAAUGACAUCCGCAGCCCAAAGGCUAAAUGGAAUAAAAUAACUUAGCUAAAGGUUUUAGAACUACCGUUUAUAUUAAUACAGAAAACCGCUCUAAUUAGUAACAGCCUACGUCAGCCAAAAAAGCAAAAAAAGAAUCCUUUUCUCAAUAGAAGUGUUAUUAUGUCUGUAAAUUGAAGUAUGGCAAAAUGUUGGAAUCCCUGAAAGACUAUGAUCAAUAACCCUCUGAUUUGUUUUUUGAUCCUGCAGGCUUAGACCCCUGAUCAUCAGAGUGAUCACAGAGCUCCUUUAAGCUCUGCGAUUAUUGGUGACUUAUACAAUACACAUUGAGCUCCUUUUUCCGUAAACUGGAGGACCUUUUUACUGCGCUACAAAUGUGCCUAAGCAGCGACAGCAGCCAGAAGGAUGUGCACAUGAUCCAGUGCAUAAUCACUUCCACAAGUGUCUGCUGCUAGUGCUUUCAAGAUAGAUAUAAUCCAAGCUGGAGACUAUUGUGAAUACCUCUCAUUUUCCCUUGCUGGUUCCUUAGCAGUUUGCUUGUAGCUAGUUAGAAAUAGAAUCCCCCAUCCUGAUUAAAUUGGUUAUAAUCUUUCCAAGAUUUGUGCUGCAGCAGGAAAAGACCAAACUCUAUUGAGUUCAGGAGGGGUUCAUUCUCUUAAAGGUACGCCGUGCAAAGCUGCAGGGAAGAAGAGAGGUUAAUGUUUAUUUCUAAAGGAGAUGUUCUCUGGCUAAAUGUAAGUAGCUGAAAAAAUAGAUGUUUCAACUAAUAGCCCAUGUACAUUUAUAAAUUAACAUUUGUCUGUAUUUGCAUAAUUUAAAGUCCUCUGCUUCUUUCCCAUUCAAAAGAAAAUUUUAAAAGUGGAAUGUGUUUACAACUCCAAAUUUCAUAGGUUACAUAUCUACAAGUAAAUGCUUUGCCAACAUUAUCAGUUCUGGAAUCCUCAGCGUAAGAAGGAUAUGGAACUGUUGGAAUGGAUCUAGAGGAGGGCUACAAGGAUGAUCAGAGGGCUGGAACACCUUCCUUACGAGGACAAGCUGAGAGAGUUGGGCCUGUUCAGCCUGGAGAAGGCUCUGAGGAGAUCUUAUAGAGACCUUCCAGUACCUGAAGGGGCUACAGAAAAGCUGGAGAGGGAAUGUUUACAAAGACUUGUAGUGAUAGGACCAGGGGGAAUGGGUAUAAACUGGAGAGGGGCAGAUUUAGACUGGACGUUAGGAAGAAUUUCUUCACCAUGAGAGUGGUGAGGCACUGGCACAGGUUGCCCAGGGAAG